RNAcentral lists this long non-coding RNA (390 nucleotides) under Astyanax mexicanus (Mexican tetra). Its description in RNAcentral is "lncRNA (ENSAMXG00005011924.1)". Lineage: Eukaryota; Metazoa; Chordata; Actinopteri; Characiformes; Acestrorhamphidae. The record is from RNAcentral.
CGGGAAAGUUCUCUACUAGUUAGCCUACAAGCUACAGCGGGAGGUUCAGCCUGCGCUCCCGCGAGGAAUGCUGAACUGCUUCGGUCACUGUGUGAUGUGACAACUUUCCUCCGCAAGUGAACUGUGGAAAGGAGAGCUGGAAUGAGAUUUGUGCUGCGAACAGAAGAGAGGAAAGCAUAGACACCAUAGUGGAAAGGAUGUAUAUGAUAUAAGGUAUGUUAUAAUGUAAGGAAUAUCAAAGCAUUAGCGGCUGUAAUGUUUAUUUAAACAAACAAAAAUGUGAGCUGUUUUAAUAUCAUCUUGUAAAGACCUGUAAUUCAAAUGCACAUUUUAACCAGGGAAGCACCAAAAAUUUGUCUGAAAAUAAUAGAGCAAUAGAGCACACCGAAC